UCGAGUUGGCAGGAGUAACCCACGGAACUGAGGAAAGUCAUUAGAGCUGAGAAAGAAGUGGCCCAAUCUGGACGGUGGGAAUUCGUGGGAAUGAGCAGAAGGCCCUCCGUGGGUGACUGUGUCACUAGAGGCGGGCCCCUGGUAAAAUUCCAGGCCAGGCCUCUGCGUUUCUAGGCAGAACCUGGAGUCGGCCUUGCCUGAGAACCCAGCUUUGUGUUAUCGUAUCCUGUCUCGCGAAGGCAGGCGUUCAAGGAUAUUUGGUCGGAUCGCCCGGCGGCGCUAAACGUUUUCUUUUUUCCGAGCGGACCGGGUCGUUCUCUAAACUCGCCGCGAUGUCGUCCUGGCUUGGGGGCCUCGGCUCCGGAUUGGGCCAGUCUCUGGGUCAAGUCGGGGGCAGCCUGGCUUCCCUCACUGGCCAGAUAUCAAACUUUACAAAGGAUAUGCUGAUGGAGGGCACGGAGGAAGUGGAAGCAGAAUUACCUGAUUCUAGGACAAAGGAAAUUGAAGCCAUUCAUGCAAUCUUGAGAUCAGAGUUGCCUUUGUAUACACACCUGCUUUCAGCCUUCUACAUAUGAACAUAUCAAGUAAAUGUUGGUGUACAAAUAUACAUGAUGAAAGAAUACUGUCACGUGGCCGGGCAUGGUGGCUCACGCCUGUAAUCCCAGCACUUUGGGAGGCCGAGGCGGGUGGAUCACCUGAGUUUGAGACCAGCCUGACCAACAUGGAGAAACCCUGUCUCUACUAAAAAUACAAAAUUCGCUGGGCGCGG
Molecule: small RNA, 769 nt
Filed under: Pan troglodytes (chimpanzee)
Lineage: Eukaryota; Metazoa; Chordata; Mammalia; Primates; Hominidae
Description: processed transcript
Source: RNAcentral